AGCAUAUCAAUAAGCGGAGGAAAAGAAACCAACAGGGGAUUGCCUCAGUAACGGCGAGUGAAGCGGCAAGAGCUCAAAUUUGAAAGCUGGCCCCUUCGGGGUCCGCGUUGUAAUUUGCAGAGGAUGCUUCGGGUGCAGCCCCCGUCUAAGUGCCCUGGAACGGGCCGUCAUAGAGGGUGAGAAUCCCGUCUGGGACGGGGUGUCUGCGUCCGUGUGAAGCUCCUUCGAAGAGUCGAGUUGUUUGGGAAUGCAGCUCUAAAUGGGUGGUAAAUUUCAUCUAAAGCUAAAUACUGGCCGGAGACCGAUAGCGCACAAGUAGAGUGAUCGAAAGAUGAAAAGCACUUUGAAAAGAGAGUUAAACAGCACGUGAAAUUGUUGAAAGGGAAGCGUUUGCGACCAGACUCGCUCGCGGGGUUCAGCCGGCAUUCGUGCCGGUGUACUUCCCCGUGGGCGGGCCAGCGUCGGUUUGGGCGGCCGGUCAAAGGCCCUCGGAAUGUAUCACCUCUCGGGGUGUCUUAUAGCCGAGGGUGCAAUGCGGCCUGCCCGGACCGAGGAACGCGCUUCGGCUCGGACGCUGGCGUAAUGGUCGUAAAUGACCCGUCUUGAAACACGGACCAAGGAGUCUAACAUCUACGCGAGUGUUCGGGUGUCAAACCCGUACGCGCAGUGAAAGCGAACGGAGGUGGGAGCCCCCUCGCGGGGCGCACCAUCGACCGAUCCUGAUGUCUUCGGAUGGAUUUGAGUACGAGCGUAGCUGUGGGGACCCGAAAGAUGGUGAACUAUGCCUGAAUAGGGCGAAGCC
This 802-nucleotide ribosomal RNA is filed under the name Aspergillus wyomingensis. RNAcentral's name for it is "LSU rRNA". It matches the Rfam family "Eukaryotic large subunit ribosomal RNA", at positions 37 to 853 of the family's 3401-position model. Lineage: Eukaryota; Fungi; Ascomycota; Eurotiomycetes; Eurotiales; Aspergillaceae. The record is from RNAcentral.